ACUAUUUUGGCAGAUUUUAUGCAAUAAAUUUAGAAUUUAUUUAUGUAAUAUUUUACAAAUAGUA
This 64-nucleotide transfer RNA is filed under the name Blepharipa sp. CMERI-Uzi-001. Its description in RNAcentral is "tRNA-Leu". Lineage: Eukaryota; Metazoa; Arthropoda; Insecta; Diptera; Tachinidae. The record is from RNAcentral.